GGUCUGGUGGUGUAGUUGGUUAUCACGUCAGUCUAACAUUUCGAGAGGAUCUUACGAUCAUCUCACUGUUCACUGAAGGUCUCCGGUUCAAGUCCGGGCUAGAUCA
This is a transfer RNA of Colletotrichum salicis, 106 nucleotides long. It matches the Rfam family "tRNA". From Rfam's summary of the family: Transfer RNA (tRNA) molecules are approximately 80 nucleotides in length. Lineage: Eukaryota; Fungi; Ascomycota; Sordariomycetes; Glomerellales; Glomerellaceae. The record is from Rfam.